Molecule: long non-coding RNA, 673 nt
Organism: Protopterus annectens (West African lungfish)
Lineage: Eukaryota; Metazoa; Chordata; Ceratodontiformes; Protopteridae
Exons: 3
Source: RefSeq, a predicted model, not a curated record
GUACGAGUACAACUUGGUUGGCAUCUGAACUUGCUGACAUGUAAAAGGCUACUGUGCCUUUAAAAAACUUAUGGGUAGUGGUUUUGAUGAUUAGGCUGCUGCUGAAGGGUCUGCUGCAGAUUUUGAUGGUAAAGAACGUAUGCUGCACACACAAGAUGUGCACAGACAGGUUAGUUUAUAUCUCCAUCGUACUAAGACUUUUACAAAGUCAGAUCAUUUGUUUAUAUUUUUUAUCCAAAAAAGGGGCAAUCAGUGUCUAAAGUAAUCCAAGAUGGUUUGUAAAUGAUUUUGUUUGUAUAUGAUUCACAAGAUAUGCGUGUACAUUCAAAGCCCAAGGCGCAAGAGCUAUGGCAACCUCAACAGCUUUUCCUCAACGAGUACCUGUCAGUGACAUGUGCAGCAGCAACUUGGUCCUCUUCUCGUACUUGGUAUCUCAUUACAAGUUGGAUGUGCAGUCCAGACCCUGAACAUGUUUCAGCUCUGCCAUACUCAGGAAUAUCACAGAAAGAAUGCUCUGAUUUGUAAAUUGAACCAAAAAGUCUUUUAAUGUACACAUUAAAAUAACAUACAGUGAUGACUGUUUUUGUGUCCUGAAAUUGAAACCUUCACCACAAUUUCCCUGUGAACUAAAGCCUUUUUAAAUAUGCAACAAAUAGAUUAAUGGAUAAAUUGG